This 253-nucleotide ribosomal RNA is filed under the name uncultured bacterium. RNAcentral describes it as "partial 16S ribosomal RNA". It matches the Rfam family "Bacterial small subunit ribosomal RNA", at positions 524 to 776 of the family's 1533-position model. The record is from RNAcentral.
GACAGAGGGUGCAAACGUUGUUCGGAAUUACUGGGCGUAAAGCGCGUGUAGGCGGCUAUGCAAGUCGGGCGUGAAAUCCCUCGGCUCAACCGAGGAAGUGCACUCGAAACUGCGUAGCUAGAGUCUCGGAGAGGAAGGUGGAAUACUUGGUGUAGAGGUGAAAUUCGUAGAUAUCAAGUGGAACACCGGUGGCGAAGGCGGCCUUCUGGACGAUGACUGACGCUGAGACGCGAAAGCGUGGGGAGCGAACAGG